CAAACAAUGAACAAUCCCACAUUCAACACGCAAUUAAAGAUAGUCUCGCCAAAGACACCAGGAACCAACAGCUCCAACAUGGUAUCUGUAUAAUUUUCUCACUGAUGUUAAUGCUGGAAGCUGGUGGGCCAUCGGCUUGCAAUGUAAUGCUCAAGACAAGAAUGAUUCGUGCAGAUGGAUGAAAGAAUGGGAUUACUGAACAUGUACACACUACACAAAACAUUACGUUUUCUACAUUUGCAGCGAUCUGCCUGCUUUUUACGUAACUAGACCAAUUAAGUUUUUAAAUCUCUCAAGAACAACUGCCAUACAUUAAUUACAAUAAUGAGAGGCUGGCAAAAAAAUAUUUUUCUGCACAAAUAUGAAGACCAAACCAGACGUCGGGUCGGCUGGGGAUGACGCGGCUCGUCACGGCCGUUCUCGUAGGUUCGAGAAGGGCACCAAAGGUAUUUUAGCAGCGACGCCAGCCUCCGCGGGAGUUCCGAGAGUUCUGAGAAUUCCAUGAGUGAAAGGAAGUUCGACAUCGGUGAAGAGGGUGAGAGACCCCCUCGAGAGUGGCGCGUCGUGGAGCGGCGGGAUCGAGAGAGUGCGACUGAGUGGCGCAGACUGUGUGUAUGGACAGGCGCGGGGUAAGGGGCGAAUCACUGUUGAGCAUAGCUCCAGUGAGGGGUGCGAACUGCGGAAGUUGACAGAUAUAUGUUUUAGUAUGUGUAAGGAUUCUUAACAUUUUGUUUAUUUCAUGAUGCUCAACAUUUUCAAAAGGGGAGAACAAAAAAAGUUUAAAGUAAUGUGUAAUAUAUAUAUAUAAAUAUAUAUAUAAAUUAGAUGCCAUAACUAUUUUUUGUAAUACACAAGAAUAUAUAAUUUUUUUUUUCAUUUUAAACUUAUUUAUGAUAGUUCCAAUUUUAGAAAUCGCAGAAACUGUAAAAUUGCAACCUGAAUUGUAUAUAUUCUACAGAAGUGUGUCCCAAAUUUUAAAAUGUUUUACUUG
Long non-coding RNA from Bacillus rossius redtenbacheri, 991 nucleotides. RefSeq lists it as uncharacterized. The transcript is spliced from 3 exons. The record is from RefSeq and is a predicted model, not a curated record. Lineage: Eukaryota; Metazoa; Arthropoda; Insecta; Phasmatodea; Bacillidae.